RNAcentral lists this ribosomal RNA (453 nucleotides) under uncultured bacterium. Its description in RNAcentral is "bacterial SSU rRNA". It matches the Rfam family "Bacterial small subunit ribosomal RNA", at positions 339 to 791 of the family's 1533-position model. The record is from RNAcentral.
CUACGGGAGGCAGCAGUGAGGAAUAUUGGUCAAUGGGCGCAAGCCUGAACCAGCAAUGCCGCGUGUGGGAUGACGGCGCUUUGCGUUGUAAACCACUGUCGGACGGGACGAAAGGGAGCCUUUGGCUCCUGGGACGGUACCGUCAAAGGAAGGGUCGGCUAACUACGUGCCAGCAGCCGCGGUAAUACGUAGGACCCAAGCGUUGUCCGGAUUCACUGGGUAUAAAGGGUGCGUAGGCGGUCUUGUGCGUCAGAGGUGAAAUCUCCGGGCUUAACCCGGAGGGUGCCUUUGAUACGGCAGGACUUGAGUGCAGGAGAGGAUGAUGGAAUUCCUGGUGUAGCGGUGAAAUGCGUAGAUAUCAGGAGGAACACCGGUGGCGAAGGCGGUCAUCUGGUCUGCAACUGACGCUGAGGCACGAAAGCGCGGGGAUCAAACAGGAUUAGAUACCCCGGU